GUAACAUGACAAGUACAUAGCGGCAUACUUUUGUUUUCUUUAUCACCACUUUGCUUGCCUCAAAACUUCAUCUGAAUAUAUAGUUGAAUCUAUCAUUUCCACAAUGAUAUACUCCUCUAAAAACUGUGAGAUGGAGAAUCAACAAGAGAAAGAUAUUGCGUCUUCUUGUAGGAAGUGGAGUGAAAAGACUAUGAAUGCGUAUAUUCAUAGCCAAAUUAUGCGAAUUAGAGCAGAGGACUUGCAACUUGGGGAAGACAUAGCCAAGAAACUUAGGCAGAGAGUUGUUGAUCAGGAUGUUGCCUCGUCUGUUAUGCUAUUGUCAAGGCCUAUGUUGCCUGCUUCACCUCUUAGUGGAAAAACGGCCAUAAAAUCUGCUAACUGAUCACCAUCUAGGAAGAUUUACUGUACGCUGAGGAAUAUGGGAGACGACCGUCCACAGGGAUGAUGAAGAUGAUGUAAAUAGAUAUAGAGAUGAAGUUGAUCCUUUUCUUACACUUUCGUUUUGUAUGUUUUGCUGUACAUAUAAAGUAGGCAGAAUACAGACGAAAACUCCUCAUCCACUAUGUACCUUUAAAAAAGAAAAUACGUAGGACGAGAAGCAAAGUUAGUGAAUGGUGACUACUUACCUGUCAAUUAAAUAAAAGGUUAAUAAUGAACACGUCUCUGUAUGUUCGUCCAUGGAUAUGAAAAGGGGAUGAUAGAAUGUAAUUUACUUACUCAAACCAAGAACACGUGGCGUUUGACACAUAUAUACAAUUUCCAUGUUCUUUCGGCAAAGUUAUGCCACUAAAACGAUGUGCUCGUUAUAAAACCUAUGGAACUUACUAACGUGCCAUCACUUUGUAGGAAUUGAUUAGCGGUACAUGAAAUUGAUUUUACACUUUCUGAACUAUUUGAUCACUGCUGAACUUGAGCUAAAUUGUACACAUAAAGGCAGACGUCAAGGAGAUAACAAAACUGGAAAUAAUAAAACCACUAGAAUUUGUCGAGGUUGAAAAUAGCAAACUACAUAUCCAGAAGAAAGUUCAAUCAACACAUCAUCCUACUGAAUAUGGAUUAAUUCCAAAUUUUAA
Nicotiana tabacum (common tobacco) is the source of this 1073-nucleotide long non-coding RNA. RefSeq lists it as uncharacterized. The record is from RefSeq and is a predicted model, not a curated record. Lineage: Eukaryota; Viridiplantae; Streptophyta; Magnoliopsida; Solanales; Solanaceae.